GGAAUCAUUGGGUUUAAAGGGUCCGCAGGCGGGGUUAUAAGUCAGUGGUGAAAUCUCAUAGCUUAACUAUGAAACUGCCAUUGAUACUGUAGCUCUUGAAUUCGGUCGAAGUGGGCGGAAUAUGACAUGUAGCGGUGAAAUGCAUAGAUAUGUCAUAGAACACCGAUGGCGAAGGCAGCUCACUAGGCCUGGAUUGACGCUCAGGGACGAAAGCGUGGGGAGCAAACAGGAUUAGAUACCCUGGUAGUCCACGCCGUAAACUAUGAUUACUCGUUUUCAGCGAUAUACAGUUGGAGACUAAGCGAAAGUGAUAAGUAAUCCACCUGGGGAGUACGAUCGCAAGGUUGAAACUCAAAGGAAUUGACGG
RNAcentral lists this ribosomal RNA (367 nucleotides) under uncultured Bacteroidota bacterium. RNAcentral describes it as "bacterial SSU rRNA". It matches the Rfam family "Bacterial small subunit ribosomal RNA", at positions 547 to 916 of the family's 1533-position model. The record is from RNAcentral. Lineage: Bacteria; Pseudomonadati; Bacteroidota.